CACUCAACAGCUAGCUUAAAUAACUAACUGUAACAAACACUAUUAAUAAACCCAAAAAUACCCAAAACAUCAAACUAAAACAUUCUAAAAAUCCCUAGUACAGGCGAUAGAAAAAGAAACAUUAUAGCAACCAGCCAAAGUCCC
Molecule: ribosomal RNA, 144 nt
Filed under: Anablepsoides urophthalmus
Lineage: Eukaryota; Metazoa; Chordata; Actinopteri; Cyprinodontiformes; Rivulidae
Description: partial 16S ribosomal RNA
Source: RNAcentral